This 1444-nucleotide unclassified non-coding RNA is filed under the name uncultured fungus. RNAcentral describes it as "sequence contains 18S rRNA gene, ITS1, 5.8S rRNA gene, ITS2, 28S rRNA gene". The stretch from base 504 to 1444 matches the Rfam family "Eukaryotic large subunit ribosomal RNA", at positions 1 to 961 of the family's 3401-position model. Lineage: Eukaryota; Fungi. The record is from RNAcentral.
GGAAGGAUCAUUAAAAGGAACGCUGGUCCAACCAGCAUCCUCCAACCCAAUGUGUACCCGCCUUGUUGCCUCGGCGUGCCUGCGUCGUCCGUGGCGCUGCCGGCUCCGGCUGGAUAGCGCACGCCAGAGGAAUUUUAAACUCCAGCUUCAACGAGUGCAGUCUGAGCUUUAAUCGAAUAAGUUAAAACUUUCAACAACGGAUCUCUUGGUUCUGGCAUCGAUGAAGAACGCAGCGAAAUGCGAUAAGUAAUGUGAAUUGCAGAAUUCAGUGAAUCAUCGAAUCUUUGAACGCACAUUGCGCCCUUCGGUAUUCCGAGGGGCAUGCCUGUUCGAGCGUCAUUUCAAACCUCAAGCUCUGCUUGGUAUUGGGUCCGGCCCCCCGUCUCCGGGGCGGCCGUCCUGAAAGUCAGCGGCGAGGCUGUCCAGCUUCAGGCGUAGUAGAACCUUUCGUCUCGCCUUGCGAGCCUGGGCUGCCCUCGCCGGAUAACCUUCAUCCACAAGGUUGACCUCGGAUCAGGUAGGGAUACCCGCUGAACUUAAGCAUAUCAAUAAGCGGAGGAAAAGAAACCAACAGGGAUUGCCUCAGUAACGGCGAGUGAAGCGGCAAGAGCUCAAAUUUGAAAUCUGGCCCUUUCAGGGUCCGAGUUGUAAUUUGAAGAGGAUGCUUCGGCGGCGGCGCCGGUCUAAGUUCCUUGGAACAGGACGUCGCAGAGGGUGAGAACCCCGUACGUGGUCGGCGGCCAACGCCAAAGGAAGCUCCUUCGACGAGUCGAGUUGUUUGGGAAUGCAGCUCUAAAUGGGAGGUAAAUUUCUUCUAAAGCUAAAUACCGGCCAGAGACCGAUAGCGCACAAGUAGAGUGAUCGAAAGAUGAAAAGCACUUUGGAAAGAGAGUUAAAAAGUACGUGAAAUUGUUGAAAGGGAAGCGCUUGCAACCAGACUUGCCCGCGGUUGCUUAGCCGGUCUUCUGACCGGUGCACUCUUCCGCGGUCAGGCCAGCAUCAGUUUGGGCGGUCGGAUAAAGGCCGAGGGAAUGUAGCUCCUCCCGGGGAGUGUUAUAGCCCUCGGCGGCAUGCGGCCAGCCUGGACUGAGGUCCGCGCUCCGGCUAGGAUGCUGGCGUAAUGGUUGUAAGCGGCCCGUCUUGAAACACGGACCAAGGAGUCUAACAUCUGUGCGAGUGUUUGGGUGUAAAACCCAUGCGCGUAAUGAAAGUGAACGGAGGUAGGAACCCCUCGGGUGCACUAUCGACCGAUCCUGAUGUCUUCGGAUGGAUUUGAGUAAGAGCAUAGCUGUUGGGACCCGAAAGAUGGUGAACUAUGCCUGAAUAGGGUGAAGCCAGAGGAAACUCUGGUGGAGGCUCGCAGCGGUUCUGACGUGCAAAUCGAUCGUCAAAUUUGGGUAUAGGGGCGAAAGACUAAUCGAACCAUCUAGUAGCUGGUUUCGGC